This 368-nucleotide ribosomal RNA is filed under the name uncultured Haptoria. RNAcentral's name for it is "partial small subunit ribosomal RNA". It matches the Rfam family "Eukaryotic small subunit ribosomal RNA", at positions 30 to 432 of the family's 1831-position model. The record is from RNAcentral. Lineage: Eukaryota; Ciliophora; Litostomatea.
GCUUGUCUCAAAGAUUAAGCCAUGCAUGUCUAAGUGUAAAUAAGUCUAUACUGUGAAACUGCGAAUGGCUCAUUAAAUCAGUUAUCGUUUAUUUGAUGAUCUCUUACUACUUGGAUAACCGUAGUAAUUCUAGAGCUAAUACAUGCCAUAACCGUAAGGUUGUAUUUAUUAGAUAUUCCUGGUAGGUGAUUCAUAAUAACUUAGCGAAUCGUGACUCGUUCACGAUAAAUCAUUCAAGUUUCUGCCCUAUCAUGCUUUCGAUGGUAGUGUAUUGGACUACCAUGGCUCUCACGGGUAACGGAGAAUUAGGGUUCGAUUCCGGAGAAGGAGCCUGAGAAACGGCUACUACAUCUAAGGAAGGCAGCAGG